GCAUAACGCGAAGAACCUUACCUAGGCUUGACAUGCAUCUCUAAGCGCGUGAAAGCGCGUGACCCUUCGGGGGAUUUGCACAGGUGCUGCAUGGCCGUCGUCAGCUCGUGUCGUGAGAUGUUGGGUUAAGUCCCGCAACGAGCGCAACCCUUGUGAACAGUUGCCAGCACUUAAGGUGGGAACUCUGUUCAGACUGCCCAGAUCAACUGGGAGGAAGGUGGGGACGACGUCAGGUCAGUAUGGCCCUUACGCCUAGGGCUGCACACGUACUACAAUGCCCAGCACAAUGAGAACCGAGACCGCGAGGUGGAGGAAAUCUAAAAAACUGGGCCCAGUUCGGAUUGGAGGCUGCAACUCGCCUCCAUGAAGUUGGAAUCGCUAGUAAUGGCGCAUCAGCUACGGCGCCGUGAAUACGUUCCCGGGUCUUGUACACACCG
This 437-nucleotide ribosomal RNA is filed under the name uncultured bacterium. RNAcentral describes it as "bacterial SSU rRNA". It matches the Rfam family "Bacterial small subunit ribosomal RNA", at positions 954 to 1392 of the family's 1533-position model. The record is from RNAcentral.